GGAGCCUCACGCGCCUCUUACCUAACAGGAAGUUGGGUGGAAGCAGCGCGGACCCACGGCGCACCGAACGCACUCCAACAGAACCCGACGCAGACACGCGCUUUCAACCGGCGGAGACACUGGCAGGUUUAUAUGUGGAAGAGACUUGCCCUGUCUCAGCUCUGCUGCCCCCUGCCCCAUACACGUGAUGGAGCAGAAAACGUGCUGUGUGAACCUGUGACUUCAGGGCCUGUUGACGUGGUCGUGCUUGCAUACUCUCUGGACUGGACCUCACUGUGGGAACAACAAGAUCAACAAGAGGAGCAAGAACAACAUCAAGAGUCAGGGCCCGGGGGUCCUGACGGGUACAGGAUGGGUACAGACCCACACAGGAAUCCCAGAGUGUGUUCCACAGCAGGACACGCCUGCGCUGAAAGAGUGGGCAGAAAGGAGCUGACCUGGGAUUAUGAUCCAAACUCAGCUGGGCCUCCCCUACCUGCCCCAGGAUUGUGGAGUGAGAACGUUGCAGCAGGGGAGAACAACGCAGCAAAGCACAGCAGGGGAACCGGAAAUGCUCACCCUUUGACAGGGUACUUUUAGUUCUGGGGCCUUAUCUUAAGGAUAUUCCAACAUAUACAAAAAGAUUCAUGCACAGAGAUAUUUACUUUAGUAUUAUUUACCAUAGGAAAAAAGUUGGAAACAAUACAUUUUAUGUUCUGUAAAAUGAAAGAACAGUUAAAUAAAUCAUGGCUCUAAGACGACUCCAGGGCUGUGUACGGAAGUUCAGGGACUGAAUCAGUUGAGGCUGUUCCACCUGAGCCUAAGCUUCCUCUGCUGUAUGUCAGGAAUCAGGUGGGGGCCAAGCGAGAUCACCACAGUGCAGGCCAGUGUGCAGGGCACAGGUGGGCGCC
RNAcentral lists this long non-coding RNA (890 nucleotides) under Homo sapiens (human). RNAcentral's name for it is "non-protein coding LINC00115:2". Lineage: Eukaryota; Metazoa; Chordata; Mammalia; Primates; Hominidae. The record is from RNAcentral.